Pongo pygmaeus (Bornean orangutan) is the source of this 619-nucleotide non-coding RNA. Lineage: Eukaryota; Metazoa; Chordata; Mammalia; Primates; Hominidae. The record is from the annotation of a RefSeq genome assembly.
UUCACCACACUCUUAAAAGAAGACUAGCCUAAUUUCCUCCCCAGCUCAUGGGGUAGGAUUCCUCUGCUCUGGCAGCAGAUCUCCCAGAGGGAGCAGCCUGACCACAUCACUGGCCCAGAAGAGGAGGCGUCUGUCCCCAGACUAGCUGAAGGAAAGCCUGGCUUGGAUGAUGCUCUGCUCUCCCCUUGCUCUUCUCCUGGGCACUUUCUUCGGGGUCAGAUCUCAGACUAUUCAUCAAUGGCCAGCGACCCUGGUGCAGCCUGUGGGCAGCCCGCUCUCUCUGGAGUGCACUGUGGAGGGAAGAUCAAACCCCGAACUAUACUGGUACCGACAGGCUGCAGGCGGGGGCCUCCAGCUGCUCUUCUACUCUGUUGGUGUUGACCAGGUCAGCUCUGAGGUGCCCCAGAAUCUCUCAGCCUCCAGACCCCAGGACCGGCAGUUCAUCCUGAGUUCUAAGAAGCUCCUCCUCAGUGACUCUGGCUUCUAUCUCUGUGCCUGGAGUGUCACACUGAGCUGGGUGGGGCAGACAUCUGUGCAAAAACCCCACCCUCUCCUGAGCCCUAACCAUGCUCCCCAGGAGCCCUCACUCAGGGACUGGGUGGAGGAUAUUUGUAACUAG